GAUGAACGCUGGCGGCGUGCCUAAUACAUGCAAGUCGAGCGAACAGACGAGGAGCUUGCUCCUCUGACGUUAGCGGCGGACGGGUGAGUAACACGUGGAUAACCUACCUAUAAGACUUGGAUAACUUCGGGAAACCGGAGCUAAUACCGGAUAAUAUAUUGAACCGCAUGGUUCAAUAGUGAAAGACGGUUUUGCUGUCACUUAUAGCUGGAUCCGCGCGGCAUUAGUUAGUUGGUAAGGGAACGGCUUACCAAGGCAACGAUGCGUAGCUGACCUGAGAGGAUGAGCAGCCACACUGGAACGGAGACACGGUCCAGACUCCGACGGGAGGCAGCAGUGGGGAAUAUUGGACAAGGGGCGCAAGCCUGAGGGAGCAAUGCCGCGUGGGUGAAGAAGGUCUUCGGGUUGUAAAGCCCUUUUGUUGGGAAAGAAAAGAAGCAGGUGAAUAUCCCGCUGUUUUGACGGUACCAAAAGAAAAAGCACCGGCUAACUUCGUG
This 497-nucleotide ribosomal RNA is filed under the name uncultured bacterium. RNAcentral's name for it is "partial 16S ribosomal RNA". It matches the Rfam family "Bacterial small subunit ribosomal RNA", at positions 28 to 507 of the family's 1533-position model. The record is from RNAcentral.